GAUGAACGCUAGCUACAGGUUAACACAUGCAAGUCGUGGGGCAUCAUGAUGUAGUAAUACAUUGAUGGCGACCGGCGCACGGGUGAGUAACGCGUAUCCAACCUACCCUCCACUCAAGUAUAGGCUUCCGAAAGGGAGAUUAAUCCUUGAUAUCGUCAUUCUCUCUCCUGUUAGAAUGAUAAAAGGACAUCGUUUCGGUAGAGGAUGGGGAUGCGUUCCAUUAGGUAGUAGGUGGUUUAACAGGCCACCUAGCCGAUGAUGGAUAGGGGUUCUGAGAGGAAUAUCCCCCACACUGGUACUGAGAUACGGACCAGACUCCUACGGGGAGGCAGCAGUGGAGGGAAAUAAUGGUUCAAUGGGGCGCAAGCCCUGAAACCCAAGCCA
Molecule: ribosomal RNA, 384 nt
Filed under: Bacteroidetes bacterium oral taxon 272
Lineage: Bacteria; Pseudomonadati; Bacteroidota
Description: bacterial SSU rRNA
Rfam family: Bacterial small subunit ribosomal RNA
Source: RNAcentral